RNAcentral lists this ribosomal RNA (836 nucleotides) under Aureobasidium melanogenum. RNAcentral's name for it is "partial large subunit ribosomal RNA". It matches the Rfam family "Eukaryotic large subunit ribosomal RNA", at positions 76 to 932 of the family's 3401-position model. The record is from RNAcentral. Lineage: Eukaryota; Fungi; Ascomycota; Dothideomycetes; Dothideales; Saccotheciaceae.
UGCCCUAGUAACGGCGAGUGAAGCGGCAACAGCUCAAAUUUGAAAGCUGGCCUUCGGGUCCGCAUUGUAAUUUGUAGAGGAUGCUUUGGGUGAAACGCCAGUCUAAGUUCCUUGGAACAGGACGUCAUAGAGGGUGAGAAUCCCGUAUGUGACUGGAAAUGUUAACCUAUGUAAAGCUCCUUCGACGAGUCGAGUUGUUUGGGAAUGCAGCUCUAAAUGGGAGGUAAAUUUCUUCUAAAGCUAAAUAUUGGCGAGAGACCGAUAGCGCACAAGUAGAGUGAUCGAAAGAUGAAAAGCACUUUGGAAAGAGAGUUAAAAAGCACGUGAAAUUGUUGAAAGGGAAGCGCUUGCAAUCAGACUUGUUUAAACUGUUCGGCCGGUCUUCUGACCGGUUUACUCAGUUUGGACAGGCCAGCAUCAGUUUCGGCGGCCGGAUAAAGGCUCUGGGAAUGUGGCCUUCACUUCGGUGAAGGUGUUAUAGCCCAGGGUGUAAUACGGCCAGCCGGGACUGAGGUCCGCGCUUCGGCUAGGAUGCUGGCGUAAUGGUUGUAAGCGACCCGUCUUGAAACACGGACCAAGGAGUCUAACAUCUAUGCGAGUGUUCGGGUGUCAAACCCCUGCGCGUAAUGAAAGUGAACGGAGGUGGGAACCGCAAGGUGCACCAUCGACCGAUCCUGAUGUCUUCGGAUGGAUUUGAGUAAGAGCAUAGCUGUUGGGACCCGAAAGAUGGUGAACUAUGCCUGAAUAGGGUGAAGCCAGAGGAAACUCUGGUGGAGGCUCGCAGCGGUUCUGACGUGCAAAUCGAUCGUCAAAUUUGGGUAUAGGGGCGAAAGACU